AAUUGUUGCUGUUCAUCCAUGAUGUUAAAGUUUCUGACAUGGUUAAUUAUCGUCAGUAUUGCAAAGAUCAUCUAGUUCCAUGGAGGUGGAUGAACUUGUUUUCCCCAAGAUGAUGCUUUAAGUUUUGCAGAGACACGUCAAAUGCUCAGGAAAAGUUUUGAAAUGCUUCCUCCUCAAUGGACCGACCAGUUUGAUUCUGGCAUUCAGGUCACUCCUGUAGGAAGCUCAUUUUGAGAUAGAAGGGGACAUAGCAAUCCUGCAGGAAGCUCAUUUUGAGUUUACA
Molecule: non-coding RNA, 283 nt
Organism: Arachis ipaensis
Lineage: Eukaryota; Viridiplantae; Streptophyta; Magnoliopsida; Fabales; Fabaceae
Source: RefSeq, a predicted model, not a curated record